RNAcentral lists this ribosomal RNA (253 nucleotides) under uncultured bacterium. RNAcentral's name for it is "partial 16S ribosomal RNA". It matches the Rfam family "Bacterial small subunit ribosomal RNA", at positions 524 to 776 of the family's 1533-position model. The record is from RNAcentral.
UACGUAGGGUGCAAGCGUUGUCCGGAUUUAUUGGGCGUAAAGAGCUCGUAGGCGGUUUGUCGCGUCGGAUGUGAAAACCCAGGGCUCAACCCUGGGCCUGCAUUCGAUACGGGCAAACUAGAGUAUGGCAGGGGAGACUGGAAUUCCUGGUGUAGCGGUGAAAUGCGCAGAUAUCAGGAGGAACACCGGUGGCGAAGGCGGGUCUCUGGGCCAAAACUGACGCUGAGGAGCGAAAGCGCGGGGAGCGAACAGG